CCCAUAUUAGUAUACUAUAACUCCACGUACAGCUUACAUAAAACUAGUAAAAAGGUUUGUGGAUGUGGCCCAGCCGGAAGGCACGGACGGGGUUCGAACCCGCGAUCUUCGGUUUACGAGACCGACGCCUUACCACUUGGCCACCGCGCCUAGCAGUGUAGGUGGGUCGCGUUGAUAGUUUAAAAACCUUUCACUCUUACUGCGAAGCCCUGGUUAGAAUAUUCAAUAGUUUGACUUUCAUCGCAGAAAACGUGCCGGAUGCAGCUUCUCACUCAUGUGGAAAUCAGCACAAUACACAUAAGACCGCUUAUCGGCAGACGUCAGGAGACGGGUAGCCCGAGCAGCCACAUCCGUGUCUUCGCGUUCGGCCCCGUGACGCGCUGCCGGUGUGGAUCUCGGUCGCGAGCUCCCCCGGAAGUAAGGCAAGCGGCUGACGGCGGACAGGAUUUCAACGUUCCCCCGGAAACAUGUUUACAACUGAGGUUCGACGGUGACGCGAGGGCCGCAUGUUCCUUCAUCGGAGGGUGCGACGACUGCGCGACCCUCCCCGUGGAUGAAGGAGCUGCUGCUAGUCUGACCCCCCCCCUGUCUGCCUCACCAUGCCGCUGGUGUUGGACGCCGUGUGGGCGCUGUGGAGCAUUGGAGCCGGCAUCUACGACUACUUCCACACCAGCGCCAUGGAGGAGAGGAUCCACGAGCUGGAGAACGUCCUCUCCAUCCACCAGUUUGUGAUGGCGGGCCUGGCGGCGGGCCUCCUGCUGCUCGUCACCUACAUACUGUGGAGAAAACACUGAAGCGCAGAUUGUGUGGGCGCUCACACGUUCAGGACGUCCCGCGUGAGGUCGGACACCCGAUGGGACUCGAGGACUCUGAGACUAGUCCGCUCCUCUUUUGGGUUUGUCUCUGUGAUUUUGGAUGUAAAACUAAUACUUCUCAAGGGCACUUUGCACUUUGACCCCUCAAAAAAUGAUGCCAUUUUUUAAAUGUGUGCUGAUAGGCGGAGACACAUAGAAUUUUAACCUUUUGGAUUUGUUACAGAAGUUGUUUUUUUAACUCCGUUAUCCCGACAUCACAACGCAAUGACCUCGAGAUCAGUGGUGUUCUCAUGUUUCACACAUCGGGCUGCUCAGUAGUGCUCAUUAAUUUAUCUCAAUGUGGAAGUGACGGGCAUCAGGUCAUGUGACUUUCUUGCUGAGCCUCUUUCAUCAGGAGACUGUUAACUUUUAAAACUUUAGCUCUGUAAAGUUGGCUUGAAAACAAAACACAAAUGGGUUCUGCAGACGGCCUCAUGAUUUAAUCCAAAUAUUGCUUUCCAUAACUAUUCACUUUCUGGGGUUAAGCACUACCGUGGAUUCCGUUAACAGGAAUAUGUUUAAAUAAUAAAUCAUUACUGGCGUUCAAGCUGUGUGUUUUAAUAAGGACCCUUUUGUUUCCGUCAAGAAUAACAAGUUAGUUUUUGUGUUAAAUAAUUCAGAUUGACGACAACUUUUAAAGUAAAAAAAAGUCAUUCCAUUUUGGAAUUUAAACAAAUAUUUUACAUUAAAUGGGACGAUAAGUAGCAGAAGAUCAGUAUCGUAUAAACUACAGGAACAAGGCUGUGGCGAAGGCAUUAUGUUCAUAUUCAUAUAUGAAUGCUGGGGUAAUAUCUGCAUAAAUCUAGUACCAUUGUUACAUUCAUUCUUGGGCAUUACCAUUAUUCUGUUGAAAUCAUUUAUUCUAGUGGAAUGCAUAGUUGUAUUACAAUAAUGCCAUUUUCUACAAAAACUUCCUUUUUACAGUAAUUUGUUUUACUCAUUGUUUUAUAACCUUUUUGUGAGUUGUAGACGCGUGUUUGCUGACGCUGUUUUGUUUAUGUUGUGCGUUUUCAAUGUGGUUUAUAUUAUUUGAACAAACAAAUAAUGUGAAUUUACAGGUUUUUUUCGAUUGCUAAACGACAGCCGGCACAACUGGAGUCACAUGUGCAAAACUCUGACUCCAGUCUGCACAGCAGCCGUUCAUGAGGACCAAACUCUAGUUCGCUUUUGUCGUCUUCAUUGCUUGAACACAGUUUUCAAAACUCAACACACUUAUCCCAUGACGUCUCCACAACCUGCACAACACUGUGGAUUUACAGCACUUUGUUCAAAUGCAACACACUGCUGUCAAAACUGUGAACCACACAUUAAAAAAGGAAUGUGCCUUUAAAACACUGAUGAUUCUAUUCAGCUGAAAGGCUGAGCGGGUGACUUGUUAGUGAACACACACACAUAUAUAUUAUCCAUCCAUUGUCAAACCGCUUAUCCUGCACACAGGGUCGCGGGGGGGCUGCAGUCCAUCCCAGCCAACUUCGGGCAAUAAUAUAUUAUAUAUAUAUAUAUAUAUAUAUAUACUGUAUAUAUUAUAGGUAGAGCUCAGAAAGACUCAUUCUGUAAAUGGAAGAAGGAAGACGGGUUGGUGGAGGGAGACAAAGAAGACAAAGAGCUGUUAUUUCAGAUGGAAUAAGGCUUCACUUAUAGACCAUGUGGUGAACCACGUCUCUCACUGAGAGCGUUGAGGGUGGAACCCGAUCUGCAAACAUCCACAGUGGCGUCUGUGAUGCAACUUCUCCAUCACACAAACAGGUGAGAGGAGUUUCUCUCUGCCUGGAGGUGGAAGGUGUUUGGUCUCCACCCACAUGUCCAGAUGUCUCUUUGGGAAGCCGGAUGUGAAGACACGAGUCCAGAGGACGGCCAGGGAUGGAUGAGGCUUCCAGAAGGUUCUUCCCCAGGUUGAUGGAGAGAGAACAUCAGAUGUGAUGGUGAUGAGAACCUGUGUCCUGAUGCUAGAGAGGCAGGAUCAGCCCCUUAAUUAUUUGUUCACAUUACAGUCUGUACUUUUAGUUUCUACCUUUUUUUUUCUCAUUACUGUAAUUCCGUAAAUUACUACAAACUAUUGAAGCAAACUUCAAAUUUUUAUUUACCUUAAAGAAUUAUGUUCUAAAAAUGUUAAUAAAUCAUGUGAAAGAAUGUCA
Molecule: long non-coding RNA, 2989 nt
Organism: Gasterosteus aculeatus aculeatus (three-spined stickleback)
Lineage: Eukaryota; Metazoa; Chordata; Actinopteri; Perciformes; Gasterosteidae
Source: Ensembl